This is a long non-coding RNA of Helianthus annuus (common sunflower), 429 nucleotides long. RefSeq lists it as uncharacterized. NCBI's taxonomy places the organism in Eukaryota, Viridiplantae, Streptophyta, Magnoliopsida, Asterales, Asteraceae. The record is from RefSeq and is a predicted model, not a curated record. The transcript has 2 exons.
UUAACUCUCACUCUCUGAAAACCUCUCCACAUCAUCCAGAACCUUCAUCUCAAACCCUAGCUCAACCACCGUCUUCCAUCACCUCUCUCCGCUGCACCUCCUCCGCCUCAACUCUCCGGCCACCGGCGGCCCUCACUUCUCAACCCUCCGGUGCUCUGUUGCCGGUUCCGAGACCGGAUUCUUCACCAAACUAGGACGGUUGAUCAAAGAGAAGGCGAAGAAAGACGUCGAGAAGAUAUUCUCCAGUGGAUUUAUGAAAACGAGAGAUAAUUUGGCGGUUAUUGAUGAGUUGUUGCUGUAUUGGAAUCUGUCGGAUACGGAUCGAGUUCUGGAUGAGAUUGAAGAGGCAUUUUUGGUGUCGGAUUUUGGCCCAAAGAUCACAAUAAAGAUUGUUGAGAGCUUGCGGGAUGAUAUAUAUGCUGGAAAGCU